UACGUAGACCUCGAGCGUUAUCCGGAUUUAUUGGGCGUAAAGAGCGUGUAGGUGGUUUUGCGCGUCUUCUGUUAAAGAUCACCGCCCAACGGUGGAAGUGCAGAGGAUACGGCAGGACUAGAGCGAGUAGAGGCAAGUAGAACGCACGGUGUAGGGGUGAAAUCCGUUGAUAUCGUGCGGAAUACCAAUGGCGAAGGCAGCUUGCUGGGACUCCGCUGACACUGAGACGCGAAAGCGUGGGGAGC
This 245-nucleotide ribosomal RNA is filed under the name uncultured bacterium. RNAcentral describes it as "partial 16S ribosomal RNA". It matches the Rfam family "Bacterial small subunit ribosomal RNA", at positions 524 to 769 of the family's 1533-position model. The record is from RNAcentral.